RNAcentral lists this long non-coding RNA (239 nucleotides) under Manihot esculenta (cassava). RNAcentral's name for it is "long non-coding RNA (MESC_LNC006015)". Lineage: Eukaryota; Viridiplantae; Streptophyta; Magnoliopsida; Malpighiales; Euphorbiaceae. The record is from RNAcentral.
UUAGGAUUACCUAUCCUCAAGUAUUCUCAGAGGUAAGUGUAGAUACUGAGCUUCUAGCAUGUGUUCUAAAGGUUUUAUGGCGUUUUUAUGGGUAGAGAUGCAUGUUGAGGUUAAGUAUGGUUGCUGUGAGUUUUGUGCAAAACUAUGCUUAUGUGUUGUAUUGAUGUUGUUGUUUGGGGUUUUAAGUUAGUUGUGGACCCCUUUGUGCAUGUCCAUGAGUAUAUGCGCGUUGUGGUUUG